AUUUCUUUACGAGGUCCCAAAAUUUACCAUCACACCUCCUCGUAUUUAGAAUCAUAUUAACACUUCCAUCCCAUAUAUCUCGUGAUCUAUGGGUAAUUUGUUCCGUUAAUACAGAUGAUUCAAGUGGACCGGGGUCUAGUUGGUAUGCAAUAGUACCAGCCAUAAAACUACCUAUAAAAUAAAAGAAACACAUAUGAAAUUAAAAUUAUUAAAUAGACAAAAUCAUAUAACAUCCACUAAAUCAAUAAAAAAAUUAGUAGUAUACUUGUUGGUAUCUUUAAUCUUUUGGUGUUUGAUUCCUUUUACUAAUAAUGUGUCAUUCUUCUUUUGUUAAAAUCUGUAAAAUAAUCUAAUGUAUACUUCAUUAGACCAAUUUGCUUAGUUCAAAUUAUUUAUGUCUCUUUACUUGUUAUUUGAUUUGUUUUAUUAUUCAAAAUGACUAAUUAUCUCUUUUUUUUUCAGAACACAUUUAUAAAAACUUAUUAAGGAGAAGGUUGAUGAGAUUUCUACACCAAGGGAUGAAUAUGAUAUUGAAGUAAUAUAAGGAGACAUUAAAUUUAAAGAAACAUGCCAACAAGUGAAGCUGGAGAACUUAAAUUGAAAGAAACAUGUCAACAAAUGGAGUUGGAGACGUUAAGUUGGAGGACAAUGCCAACAAGGAGCUUAUGUUGAUGUUUUAUUAGCUUAAGUUGACAUGGAGCUAAUUUUUAUGUUUUUAUACUUCAAAUAUGUUCGAUUUUAUUUGUAUACAUGUUAUUCAUUUCUAAAGGACAUACCAUUUUGAAAUGGUUGUGCAAAUAAAUUCAUAAGUAUAGUUAAUGAAUUAGUGUAAUUUGAAUGGAUUCAAUUAUUUAUUUCAUGUUAUGUGAAAUUUAAGUAAUUUUUGUUGAUUCUAAAAGUAAGCUAGGGGUCAUGAAAACAUAAGAAAUCAAGCCAAGAAAAAGCUAGGAUGUUUACAUAUUAGCUUGGAAAAUAUCCAAGCAAAAGAGAGUUGUUUGCUAUGAAGUUACCUAGGAAUAAUCCUAGCUAUUAUUUGAUUGGAUAUGUUGCCUAGCAAAAUAUUCUAGCUAAACUAGCUAGGCUAACAACGUUUUCCUAGCAAAUUUUUAGCUAAGAAAGAAUUAGCUACAAAAGGUUGCUACGGUCAUUUUCCUAGCAAAAAUGAUGUUAGCUAGGAAUUUUGUAAGUUAGCUAGGGAUUUGGUCUCUCGCUAAUAAGUUGUUCUCUUGUAGUGGGGGCUAUCACAACAAUCCAGAUACAUAAG
RNAcentral lists this long non-coding RNA (1264 nucleotides) under Solanum tuberosum (potato). RNAcentral's name for it is "long non-coding RNA (STUB_LNC001787)". The record is from RNAcentral. Lineage: Eukaryota; Viridiplantae; Streptophyta; Magnoliopsida; Solanales; Solanaceae.